GUGUCAGCAGCCGCGGUAAUACGGAGGAGGCAAGCGUUAUCCGGAAUUAUUGGGCGUAAAGCGUCCGCAGGUGGCUCGCUCAAGUCUGCUGUCAAAGACCGGGGCUUAACUCCGGAAAGGCAGUGGAAACUGACAAGCUAGAGGGCUCUAGGGGUAGAGGGAAUUCCCGGUGUAGCGGUGAAAUGCGUAGAGAUCGGGAAGAACAUCGGUGGCGAAAGCGCUCUACUGGAGAGCAACUGACACUCAGGGACGAAAGCUAGGGGAGCGAAUGGGAUUAGAUACCCCAGUAGUCCUAGCCGUAAACGAUGGAUACUAGGCGUGGCUUGUAUCGACCCGAGCCGUGCCGUAGCUAACGCGUUAAGUACCCCGCCUGGGGAGUACGCUCGCAAGAGUGAAACUCAAAGGAAUUGGCGGGG
RNAcentral lists this ribosomal RNA (416 nucleotides) under uncultured prokaryote. RNAcentral describes it as "bacterial SSU rRNA". It matches the Rfam family "Bacterial small subunit ribosomal RNA", at positions 505 to 918 of the family's 1533-position model. The record is from RNAcentral.